RNAcentral lists this ribosomal RNA (2924 nucleotides) under Staphylococcus aureus subsp. aureus CIG2018. Its description in RNAcentral is "bacterial LSU rRNA". It matches the Rfam family "Bacterial large subunit ribosomal RNA". Lineage: Bacteria; Bacillati; Bacillota; Bacilli; Caryophanales; Staphylococcaceae. The record is from RNAcentral.
UUAAGUUAUUAAGGGCGCACGGUGGAUGCCUUGGCACUAGAAGCCGAUGAAGGACGUUACUAACGACGAUAUGCUUUGGGGAGCUGUAAGUAAGCUUUGAUCCAGAGAUUUCCGAAUGGGGAAACCCAGCAUGAGUUAUGUCAUGUUAUCGAUAUGUGAAUACAUAGCAUAUCAGAAGGCACACCCGGAGAACUGAAACAUCUUAGUACCCGGAGGAAGAGAAAGAAAAUUCGAUUCCCUUAGUAGCGGCGAGCGAAAUGGGAAGAGCCCAAACCAACAAGCUUGCUUGUUGGGGUUGUAGGACACUCUAUACGGAGUUACAAAGGACGACAUUAGACGAAUCAUCUGGAAAGAUGAAUCAAAGAAGGUAAUAAUCCUGUAGUCGAAAAUGUUGUCUCUCUUGAGUGGAUCCUGAGUACGACGGAGCACGUGAAAUUCCGUCGGAAUCUGGGAGGACCAUCUCCUAAGGCUAAAUACUCUCUAGUGACCGAUAGUGAACCAGUACCGUGAGGGAAAGGUGAAAAGCACCCCGGAAGGGGAGUGAAAUAGAACCUGAAACCGUGUGCUUACAAGUAGUCAGAGCCCGUUAAUGGGUGAUGGCGUGCCUUUUGUAGAAUGAACCGGCGAGUUACGAUUUGAUGCAAGGUUAAGCAGUAAAUGUGGAGCCGUAGCGAAAGCGAGUCUGAAUAGGGCGUUUAGUAUUUGGUCGUAGACCCGAAACCAGGUGAUCUACCCUUGGUCAGGUUGAAGUUCAGGUAACACUGAAUGGAGGACCGAACCGACUUACGUUGAAAAGUGAGCGGAUGAACUGAGGGUAGCGGAGAAAUUCCAAUCGAACCUGGAGAUAGCUGGUUCUCUCCGAAAUAGCUUUAGGGCUAGCCUCAAGUGAUGAUUAUUGGAGGUAGAGCACUGUUUGGACGAGGGGCCCCUCUCGGGUUACCGAAUUCAGACAAACUCCGAAUGCCAAUUAAUUUAACUUGGGAGUCAGAACAUGGGUGAUAAGGUCCGUGUUCGAAAGGGAAACAGCCCAGACCACCAGCUAAGGUCCCAAAAUAUAUGUUAAGUGGAAAAGGAUGUGGCGUUGCCCAGACAACUAGGAUGUUGGCUUAGAAGCAGCCAUCAUUUAAAGAGUGCGUAAUAGCUCACUAGUCGAGUGACACUGCGCCGAAAAUGUACCGGGGCUAAACAUAUUACCGAAGCUGUGGAUUGUCCUUUGGACAAUGGUAGGAGAGCGUUCUAAGGGCGUUGAAGCAUGAUCGUAAGGACAUGUGGAGCGCUUAGAAGUGAGAAUGCCGGUGUGAGUAGCGAAAGACGGGUGAGAAUCCCGUCCACCGAUUGACUAAGGUUUCCAGAGGAAGGCUCGUCCGCUCUGGGUUAGUCGGGUCCUAAGCUGAGGCCGACAGGCGUAGGCGAUGGAUAACAGGUUGAUAUUCCUGUACCACCUAUAAUCGUUUUAAUCGAUGGGGGGACGCAGUAGGAUAGGCGAAGCGUGCGAUUGGAUUGCACGUCUAAGCAGUAAGGCUGAGUAUUAGGCAAAUCCGGUACUCGUUAAGGCUGAGCUGUGAUGGGGAGAAGACAUUGUGUCUUCGAGUCGUUGAUUUCACACUGCCGAGAAAAGCCUCUAGAUAGAAAAUAGGUGCCCGUACCGCAAACCGACACAGGUAGUCAAGAUGAGAAUUCUAAGGUGAGCGAGCGAACUCUCGUUAAGGAACUCGGCAAAAUGACCCCGUAACUUCGGGAGAAGGGGUGCUCUUUAGGGUUAACGCCCAGAAGAGCCGCAGUGAAUAGGCCCAAGCGACUGUUUAUCAAAAACACAGGUCUCUGCUAAACCGUAAGGUGAUGUAUAGGGGCUGACGCCUGCCCGGUGCUGGAAGGUUAAGAGGAGUGGUUAGCUUCUGCGAAGCUACGAAUCGAAGCCCCAGUAAACGGCGGCCGUAACUAUAACGGUCCUAAGGUAGCGAAAUUCCUUGUCGGGUAAGUUCCGACCCGCACGAAAGGCGUAACGAUUUGGGCACUGUCUCAACGAGAGACUCGGUGAAAUCAUAGUACCUGUGAAGAUGCAGGUUACCCGCGACAGGACGGAAAGACCCCGUGGAGCUUUACUGUAGCCUGAUAUUGAAAUUCGGCACAGCUUGUACAGGAUAGGUAGGAGCCUUUGAAACGUGAGCGCUAGCUUACGUGGAGGCGCUGGUGGGAUACUACCCUAGCUGUGUUGGCUUUCUAACCCGCACCACUUAUCGUGGUGGGAGACAGUGUCAGGCGGGCAGUUUGACUGGGGCGGUCGCCUCCUAAAAGGUAACGGAGGCGCUCAAAGGUUCCCUCAGAAUGGUUGGAAAUCAUUCAUAGAGUGUAAAGGCAUAAGGGAGCUUGACUGCGAGACCUACAAGUCGAGCAGGGUCGAAAGACGGACUUAGUGAUCCGGUGGUUCCGCAUGGAAGGGCCAUCGCUCAACGGAUAAAAGCUACCCCGGGGAUAACAGGCUUAUCUCCCCCAAGAGUUCACAUCGACGGGGAGGUUUGGCACCUCGAUGUCGGCUCAUCGCAUCCUGGGGCUGUAGUCGGUCCCAAGGGUUGGGCUGUUCGCCCAUUAAAGCGGUACGCGAGCUGGGUUCAGAACGUCGUGAGACAGUUCGGUCCCUAUCCGUCGUGGGCGUAGGAAAUUUGAGAGGAGCUGUCCUUAGUACGAGAGGACCGGGAUGGACAUACCUCUGGUGUACCAGUUGUCGUGCCAACGGCAUAGCUGGGUAGCUAUGUGUGGACGGGAUAAGUGCUGAAAGCAUCUAAGCAUGAAUUCCCCCCUCAAGAUGAGAUUUCCCAACUUUCGGUUAAUAAGAUCCCUCAAAGAUGAUGAGGUUAAUAGGUUCGAGGUGGAAGCAUGGUGACAUGUGGAGCUGACGAAUACUAAUCGAUCGAAGACUUAAUCAA